UACGUAGGGUGCAAGCGUUGUCCGGAAUUAUUGGGCGUAAAGAGCGCGCAGGCGGUCGUCCAAGUCGCGUGUGAAAGCCCCCGGCUCAACUGGGGAGGGUCACGCGAUACUGGUCGACUCGAAGGCAGGAGAGGGUAGUGGAAUUCCCGGUGUAGUGGUGAAAUGCGUAGAUAUCGGGAGGAACACCAGUGGCGAAGGCGACUACCUGGCCUGUUCUUGACGCUGAGGCGCGAAAGCUAGGGGAGCAAACGGG
Molecule: ribosomal RNA, 253 nt
Filed under: uncultured bacterium
Lineage: Bacteria
Description: partial 16S ribosomal RNA
Rfam family: Bacterial small subunit ribosomal RNA
Source: RNAcentral